RNAcentral lists this ribosomal RNA (253 nucleotides) under uncultured bacterium. Its description in RNAcentral is "partial 16S ribosomal RNA". It matches the Rfam family "Bacterial small subunit ribosomal RNA", at positions 524 to 776 of the family's 1533-position model. The record is from RNAcentral.
UACGAAAGGGGCUAGCGUUGUUUGGAAUUACUGGGCGUAAAGCGCACGUAGGCGGCCUUGUAAGUUGGGGGUGAAAUCCCGAGGCUCAACUCCGGAACUGCCUUCAAGACUGCAAAGCUAGAGGACGCGAGAGGUUAGCGGAAUUCCGAGUGUAGAGGUGAAAUUCGUAGAUAUUCGGAAGAACACCAGUGGCGAAGGCGGCUAACUGGCGCGUUUCUGACGCUGAGGUGCGAAAGCGUGGGGAGCAAACAGG